Molecule: transfer RNA, 73 nt
Filed under: Rhizobium leguminosarum bv. trifolii WSM2304
Lineage: Bacteria; Pseudomonadati; Pseudomonadota; Alphaproteobacteria; Hyphomicrobiales; Rhizobiaceae
Description: tRNA-Lys
Source: RNAcentral
GAUUGAUUUUUCGCAACAUGCGAGGAGACUCUUAAUCAGCGGGUCGUAGGUUCGAGCCCUACAUCACCCACCA